Anser brachyrhynchus (Pink-footed goose) is the source of this 1572-nucleotide long non-coding RNA. NCBI's taxonomy places the organism in Eukaryota, Metazoa, Chordata, Aves, Anseriformes, Anatidae. The record is from Ensembl.
AGCUUGAAAAGCAGCCCACAGCAGGCUGAGCACUGGAGCAAUUAAAUAAAUGUCCACUUCCAGAAAGAAUUUAUUUAAAAAAAAAAAAAAAGGAAUGAAGAAAAAAGAAAACACUGAGCCCAUCUAAAAGUCAAGGGAAAGAAACCCCAGUCCUGCCCCGUUCCGCUCCCCGCCUUGCUCCGUCCUUAUCACCGCCGUGGAGGAUUUGACGCUCAUCUCCUCCUAACAGCAGAGUUCCUGAUCCAGCAGCAGCAAAACCGAAUCAAUCGGUUCCCAAAAGCCAGGGUGGUGAGAAGAAAGGCAGCCCUGCCCCUGGCAUGUGGAACCAAUCCAUACCUUAAGCAGAAAAAUAUUGAUAAGGUGGCUGCCGCAGACAUAUUUAUGUCCUUCCUUAUACGUGCCACGAGCAGAGAGUUUCUCCCCCCUGCCUGGCCCUGAGCAGAGCGUUAUUUUAAAUUGUGCAAAAUCGCCUCGCUUGCUCGGGGAGGCAAAGCACAGUCUAUUUUUACCAUCUCAUGAUUUUGCCAUCGCUCCAUCCCGAGGAGGGAUCGAGUUUCCUGGACAUCGUGGGCUCCGCUCGCGGGAGAUUCCUUCGCUCGGUCCUUAUAAGGCACCAGAGAUUCGUCCCCGCCAGCACCGCGAGUCCCCCCUGCCGCGCUCGGGUGAUGGAUCACGCUGGAAGGACAGCGAGAGGAAGAAAAAAAGGAAGGGAAGGAGGAUGGGAAGCCUUGGGGCUGGAGAUUAACAAGUGAAAAAGACAAGGCGGGGGGGGGGAAGGUUGGAGAGAGGCAUUAGGAGAAAUUACAGGCAUGGAAAUCGAGGAGUGUAAUCGAAACCAGACUGGGACACUUUGACAGUAAUGGAAAUCAGGUUUGGGGGAGUUUGGGGAACGUCAUGUCCCUCCUGCCCUGGAGACCUGCAGUUGGGGUGCUUGGAGCCUUCGCCCCAUGCUGGACACCAGCCUGCGAGGCUGCAGCCCCCCACACCACCCCUCCCAUGUUUCCAAGCCACCACCGAGGACACCCAGGAGCCAAAAUCAACCUGUGAUCUCUGCUCGGGACCCGCAGGCAGCACCAGGGGAGCUCCCUGGCCUCAACCCACAGCUCCUGGCCACGCACCCCCACGUCUUCCCAAGCCCUCCUGCCCUCCUCGCUGCUGCGCACCGUCCCCAGCACCAACGGUCCAUCUCUGCGUGAUCCGCCCGGAUUUGUACCACCAACACCGACAGGUUGCGGCGGUACCGGCAGCUUGCAGAUGAGCCGUUCACCACCGUGCUCUCAAGGCAAAACCAGCCCUGCUGGAGGCCAGCGCUGUGCCAGUCCCUGUGGCAUCGUCCCACCGUGGCCGAGCAGGAGCUGGAGCAUCACCAAGACACAAUUUUGGAUCUCCCAAUGGCCACGAGCUGUCCCAGGAGCGUGGCCAGCCGUGCUCGUACGCGGAGCUGAUUGUGGGUGGAUGUAGCUCUCGGUACAACUUGGAGGACAUCACUGGCUGCUGUCCUGCAACCCCCACCGGCAGCCAAAAGGACGAUCCCAGAGCAAAUAAACCCCUGGAGCCUUUGGUUUUAAUUCA